UAUGUGUAUACAUAUAUGCAUAUGUGUUUGUGUGUUUUCUGCCACAAGCUUUCAUGUGCCAGGGUAAUAGCUACUGCAGCAUGGUCAGAGUAAUCUCAGAUGUGAGGGACUUGUGUGAGGCUGAGGGAAGGCUGGUUUCAGUACUAGAAGGCAACCUUCUUUCUCCUGGUUAUUACCUGACUCCAUCUCCAGAGGACUAAUGGACAAGAUAGCUGUGAGAUACGCUGGCAUAAGGUUCCUCAAGCCUUGGGGUUCAAACUGCACCAUUUUGCAUGGGUAAGGAAUGAUAAGAUUCAUUAGCUUGUCUAGAUGUCACCUUUCUUACUUGCUGCAUUUUAUUAAACUAGUUAUUAAAUUAUCCCUAUGAACUUAAUAAGGAAAUACAUGGUCUAGAGAGAAGCAUGACUGAAAAUUAGACAUUUCAAUGUCCUGUUGACCUUGUAUACUUGUAGGUACGUGCUUCCACUUAGCUAGGUUCUUACACAGAGCUGUUCUUGAAAGUAUGAUGUUGCUGCUUUUCAAAAGGAUUGUGGGAGUCACACGUCUGGAUCAGAUAUUAAAGACUAGAAGAACUUCAGGAUGGGUUUGACCUAAACUAUUCCUUUAACAACCUUGAAUUACCAGUCUUUGCAAUGACGAGUUACAUAAAACCUCAGCUGGGGAGCAGGGAAAAUAGUCUUAAAAUGUAGCCUGUCAAUUCACAGAAUUGCAGAAAAAUUUAGGUUAGUAGGGCCCUCCGGAGAUCAUCUGGUUCAAUCUCCUGCUGAGUGCUUAACUACUUUUAAUGCAUGAUAACACUAGCACCAAGAAGACCCUAAGGCUCACCUAUUCUAUACAGUGAAGUAUGGAGGUCUCCCAGUUGGUGCUGUAGUCAAAUGGAGCAGCCACUCAACUUCAGUUGUGUUGGCUCAGACCUGAACCACUGGAGUGACACUUGGAUUCUGCAUUGUUCUGGCAUUAGCAAUUAAAGCUUUAAAGCCCCACCUGGCUAGUCUGCACAAGUAGUACCUAGAACACCUUUGAUAUCCAAGCCCAGAUUCCUUAAAAAAAGCUCUGCUUAGUCUUAUCUCCAAAUCAUCUUGAAAUUGGUAUUAAAGUGUUAAAUUAGAAUAUAAUUCUGAGCAAAAAUGGAUUUAUAUUCAAGAUCAGUGCGGAAAUAGUUGGGCCAUCCAACUGCUUGGCUACAGCUGUUGUUUAGUA
Molecule: long non-coding RNA, 1200 nt
Filed under: Anas platyrhynchos platyrhynchos (common mallard)
Lineage: Eukaryota; Metazoa; Chordata; Aves; Anseriformes; Anatidae
Description: lncRNA (ENSAPLG00000027797.1)
Source: RNAcentral